UUUUCUUCUUAAUCGUCUUUUUUUUUCAUCAAAAAAUAAAUAAAUCAAAAGAUCUUCUUAUGCCCAUAAUAUUUCAAUUUCUCCAUGUGUAAAAUAUUUCUACCAAAGAAGAUCUCUUUAUCAUCCACUGGAUAUUGAAAAGACGGUUUGUUAUUAUAUUCGUUCUCUUAUAGUUUGUUUUUUUAUAGUCUAUCAAUUUUCAUCUAAAUUUCUUUUCAUCCAAUUGGUUUUUUUAAAUCUGGGUUAUUGAGAAAUGUUUCAGAUUUUUUAUUUUUAAUUUGUAGUUUUAGGGUUAAUUUGUGUAAAGAUUAGAUUAACGCUCAUUAGAUUCAUCAAAUGGUUUUAAAGCGCAGUAAUUGCAGCGUUUAAGAUUUUCAAUCUACAUUUCCAAGGCUCCAGUUCGAGCCACAUAUUUCAAUCUCCACUUCACCCUCCCAGUGUCAUUUAUUUGAAGUUAUUCUUCACAUUCAAUGUGAAACCGUUUCUUUUACUGUAAAUUAAACUCCCUCUUAACUCAUGCUUCAAAAAAAAAUUGAUUAUUUUCUUUCAUCUUUUUUAUUUUUUUUCUUCUUCAUCGUCUUUUUUUUCCAUCAAAAAAUAAAUAAAUCAAAAGAUCUUCUUAUGCCCAUAAUAUUUCAAUUUCUCCAUGUGUAAAAUAUUUCUACCAAAGAAGAUCUCUUUAUCAUCCACUGGAUAUUGAAAAGACGGUUUGUUAUUAUAUUUGUUCUCUUAUAGUUUGUAUUUUUUUUUAUAGUUUAUCAAUUUUCAUCUAAAUUUCUUUUCAUCCAAUUGGUGUUUUAAAAUCUGGGUUAUUGAGAAAUGUUUCAGAUUUUUUAUUUUUAAUUUGUGGUUUUAGGUUUAAUUUGUGUAAAGAUUAGAUUAACGCUCAUUAGAUUCAUCAAAUGGUUUUAAAGCACAAUAACUGCAUUGUUUUCGACUUAAUGUUUGUAUUUCUCUCUGCUCUCUGAAUUAGAAUUUCAUUUUUAAAUUUGUAUGAUGAAUAUUUUUAUUUGUUCUCUUAUAGUUUGUAUUUGAAAUCUGGUUUUUAAGCGCAGUAGCUGCAUCGUUUUCGACUUAAUGUUUGUAUUUCUCUCUGCUUUCUGAAUUAGAAUUUCAUUUUUAAAUUUGUAUCGUGAAUAUUUUUAUUUUCCCCCAAUUAAUUUUAUUUUAGAUUAUCAAGUUUUGUUUGAAUUUGAUUUUGUGCAUCCCACUUCCUCUUAACAAGAAUUAUAAAGGUUGAUUAUUUUUCAAGUUCUAUAUUUUAUUGUUAAUCCUGUAGAUUUACUUUUUGGUAUGAUUUCCAAGUCUCACUUGAAUUGUUAAUAUGUGAGCACUGCCGGUUGAAUUAGCUUUUAGUUCAUCGUACUUCUUUUUUUGUUUAUGGCAAUUUUUCCGGCUUUAUCUAACCCAAAAAUUUUCACUUUUUGUAGACUUCGAAUAUGGUCAAAUCGAAGUUGAUUCUACGAACAAAAUACCGAUAAAUAGACAUUUUCUGUAUCCAACUGCAUAAAUCAUUUUUAGGUAUUAUAUUAUAAUAUGAAUAAUUAUAGAGGCGAUCCAACUGGUAGAUUAGGUUCUUUGAUUUUCUUAUUUUGAUUUAACAAAAAUGACGUUUCAAACAUUUAUAAAUUAGUCUUACUUUGUUGUCCUUCGUUUACUUUGGCACUCUUGGAUUUACAAUCUUUGGUCCAUUUUUGUUGUAUUGGUAAGUUGGAGUCUUUUGGCUGUUUUUCUUUUGUUGUAUUUGUUGUUCUGGUGGGUAUGUGAUGAUUUUAGUCCUUUUUUUACUUGAGUUAGAUCUGUUAGCAGUCUAAUUAAUUUCUGAAUUUUAGGUUAGUUUAUAAAAUAUUUUAAAAUCUUGCCUUUGUAUUUUGCUUUAUUAUCAUUCCAAUUUUUCAAAUUUGCAGGUUCAUCGAAACUUUUUUGGAGAUGAAAUACCACCUAAAGCAAGGGAGAAAGGACACAGGUUGGUUUUCUCUGUCGAGGUAAAUACCAAUAUUUGAUUAUAUACAUCGAGGUUUGGUAAAAAUCUUUUCAUUACGUAUUAAUUCCGGAUGAAUUUAGCACUGCAAGAGUCCAUUGUAGAAAUGUUCACAAAGUAUAAUAUAGGAUAUCAUUAUUAUUAACAUGUUAUUUAGAGGGUUUGCGCAAGGUCAUAUUCGUUUGCCAGAUAUAUAUAAGGUCGGGUGAAAGGUUUAUUCGCGUUUCUGUACUGUUGGUCUCACUACAAGCUACUUUUGGACCCUUAAUACCAAUAUUUGAGCUUGGAUGAAGUAUAAAAGUUCAGUAUUUUUUUCCAAGGACCUACUAUAUGUUCAGUUCGUACAAUUCUCAAUAAGUUUUAAGCUCAGUUUUGUAUAACACCACAGAGGUUGGAGAAAAUGUAAAUUAUCAAUUAUGUGAAUGCUUUGACAGAAGGUCUACAGAUGUUGACAGGAACAAGGAGGUUGUAGAAUUGUUCAUCGAAACUUUUUCGUAGAUGAAAUACCACCUAAAGCAAGGGAGAAAGGACACAGGUUGGUUUUCUCUGUCGAGGGACCUACUAUAUGUUCAGUUCGUACAAUUUUCAAUAAGUUUUAAGCUCGGUUUGUAUAACACCACGGAGGUUGGAGAAAAUGUAAAUUAUCAAUUAUGUGAAUGCUUUGACAGAAGGUCUACGGAUGUUGACAGGAACAAGGAGGUUGUAAAAUUGUGAACUAUUGGAACUCAUGCUUUUGCAAAUAAUUUUUUCCAUUUGAUCGUUGGCAUGUUGAUCUCGAUGAAAGAUUUUCCUAACAACAAUCCACUUAUACAUAUAUCGGCAAUCAUUCUAGGAAAAAUUGAAAAAGCGUGUAGGCAACCGCGACAUGUUGGAUUUUGGGAACAUGAACACCAGCAUAUGUGUCACCUCUUAUAUUCUUUUUCUCCAUGUAUACAAUUUUAGAACUUUUGUUCCAAAGUUUCAAAGAACUUUGUAACGGUAUUGGAAUAAUAUGGGGUAGUAGUCAUGUAAAAAUUGUUGUCGUUCAAUUUUAAUGUUUCCAUAUUUUACAAAUAUUUACAUAAAAAUUCCACAAUUCCGUCAUUUAUUAGAGCUUUACAUAUUUUUGGUUAAUUAUUAGUUUAAAAAUAUGCAUCGAAAACAAAUUUAAUUAAGUAUGCUUCAUCUAGGAAAACAUGACACAAUGUAAUAAUACUGGAGUUAGAUUUAACAGGACAUAUGUCGAAAUAGAUAAGAAACAAUCGUUCGGCAACACCGAGAACAAAUUAAAUCCCGUGCCAUCACGUCACGGGUCAUAUCCUAGUAUAUAUACAUGUAAAGAAAGGCGAUUUCCUUUUUUUUGGUGUGUCAACGAUUUCCUUUUCU
Papaver somniferum (opium poppy) is the source of this 3346-nucleotide long non-coding RNA. RefSeq lists it as uncharacterized. The record is from RefSeq and is a predicted model, not a curated record. The transcript has 5 exons. Lineage: Eukaryota; Viridiplantae; Streptophyta; Magnoliopsida; Ranunculales; Papaveraceae.